Molecule: long non-coding RNA, 931 nt
Organism: Halichondria panicea
Lineage: Eukaryota; Metazoa; Porifera; Demospongiae; Suberitida; Halichondriidae
Exons: 2
Source: RefSeq, a predicted model, not a curated record
UAGGGCUAGCCUCGAUCCCAGGCCGAGUUUUCGCUUUUAUAACGGUUAGGCGAACAACUGGGCCUGGUACUAGUUGUCUGCGCAUGCGUCAAUCGUUCGUCAGAUUCUGACGAAUGGAUAUUCUCGUUCACUUUCGUGACAUUUAUAUUCGUGUACUAUCGUGUACUAGAAGUCAGUUCCCGUUUUAUCAUUAUUGGAAUCGAUUGGAAUGGCUCUUAGCUGAAGCUUCUCUCUUCUCUGAAGCUUAUUCUGAAGACUGAACAACAAGGGAAGAGGUAUAAAGCUUUGUCAAGCUUGUUAAGGUCAGAUAUUUUUGUGUGGGCCCUAUGGCCGGCUAUGCUAUCAAGUUAAGUCUUGUUCAUGUUUGGCAAGAAUGUAGGUAGACUAUAGUUUCAUCAUUAAUAUGGUGGAUCAAGUGAAGAGUGUGAGCUAGAGAACUUGGUGCUGCCAUCAUCAGCUCGUCGACAAUGACACUAUAACCGAGAAAUUUAAUAUGUAUAGAUCUACACGUAUUUAAAAUGUCUACUUCUCUGUACAGGAGCAAUGGCUAAUAUCCAGCUAUCCCAACAGUGCUCCUCUUGGCUAUACUAACGGACGAGACUGGACAGUUUGAGACACAGGACUGGAGUAUGACCUGUUCAUUCGAGCGUUGCUGGGUAGCUCAGAGACAUCAAGAGAAUCUACGUUUUCUCAAGCAAUGAGUUACGAGUUGGGGCCUAGAAUCAGAGAAGUCCAGCAGCCUACUAAAUCUUUUUGAAACGUAAUUUGAAGGCAUUCAAUCAUCCUGAAGUUGCCCUGGGUCACUGUAAUUGUGCUGCAGCACAACUGGCAACUCCCCAGGCCUUUGUGAAGCAGCUCCCUAUGUGCAUCUUUUGUGUACUCACUCUGUGCAUUUUCUGUGUACAAAUUUCUAUUAUUGAUUUAUUAAAUA